UGGGGGAUAUUGCACAAUGGGCGAAAGCCUGAUGCAGCGACGCCGCGUGGGGGAUGAAGGCUUUCGGGUUGUAAACCUCUUUCGCUAUCGAACAAGGCCCGCUUAGGGUGGGUUGAGGGUAGGUGGAGAAGAAGCGCCGGCUAACUACGUGCCAGCAGCCGCGGUAAUACGUAUGGAGCGAGCGUUGUCCGGAAUUAUUGGGCGUAAAGGGUACGCAGGCGGUUUAAUAAGUCGAAUGUUAAAGAUCGGGGCUCAACCCCGCAAAGCAUUGGAAACUGAUAAACUUGAGUAGUGGAGAGGGAAGUGGAAUUCCUAGUGUAGUGGUGAAAUAAGUAGAUAUUAGGAGGAAUACCAGUAGCGAAGGCGACUUUCUGGACACAAACUGACGCUGAGGUACGAAAGCGUGGGGAGCAAACAGG
Molecule: ribosomal RNA, 419 nt
Filed under: bacterium
Lineage: Bacteria
Description: partial 16S ribosomal RNA
Rfam family: Bacterial small subunit ribosomal RNA
Source: RNAcentral